UGUACAAAUUAAUUUUUAAGUGAUAAAGCACAAACAGUGAAGUACCGCCACCGGUCGAGAGGGGCAGCACCUCAACAAGACGGGAGAAUUGUAAACCGGAAGAUACCGUGUCCUGCCAGAGAGCACUCGUCGUUACAAGUUUUCAGUGUUUGAAGAGAGGCUCAAGAUACAGAUUUAAGACAAAAGGCAUCAAUUACGAUCGUUUAAAUAACUUGCCCAGAGCACAGCAUCUCGUGUACAGCAUGAAGUUUUCAGCUAUCAAGUUAUUGUUUUUUUUUUAAUAAUGUAGAUUUCUAGAGACUCCAGAAUGAAAACCAAGCCCUGCACUGCAAAAAAAUGAAUGUCUUUCUUAGUUUUCUUUUGUCUUGUUUUCUAAUAUUAAUAUCUGAAAAUUCUUAAAUUGAGAUACACUGACUUGGUAAGCAAGUGGCUUAAGAUAUUAAGUUUUGUUUAUUGAAAUAAAUGAUGGAAAUCAAGAGGUUUUUAAAACAAGUCAAAAUAUUUACCUGUUUAGUAAGAAAAAUAAACUUAAUUCCAGUUUCAACUUGAUCAACUUAAUUUAAGUUUAUUUUUCUUACUGCAUUGGCAGAUAUUUUGACUUGUUUUAAGUAAAAAGAAAAACUCUUCAUUUUUAUAAUUUAUUUUAAUAAACAAGACUUAAUAUCUUAAGCCACUUGCUUACCAAGUCAAUGUAUCUCAAUUUGAGAAUUUUUAGAUAUUUAUUUUAGAAAACAAGACAAAAAAACCUAGGUAAGUCAAUACUUUUUUGCAGUGUGAGGGAGAAGAACCAAGCCCUGAGGGAACGUAGUGAACGAGCAGCUUCGGAUGACAGCGGCUCACUUUUGGCGUUGCUUGACAACACUUUGAGGCAGGAUAAAAAGCUCCAGGAACAAUUUCUUUAGAGUAUCUUCUCUAAUCACCUUUCCAUUAAUACAACCUGGACUGGUGUAGGGAAUCAAGCAUGUUUUAGAGACCUGUUUCUGAAGACCAUUGUUCAAAGAGCCAUCCGGAAGAACCCUGCAACCCAGGAUGCCACUGAUUGGGCUGUCCAGGUUAAUGUUACGUGUUACCUGAAAGGAGCAUCUGACCGUAAAGGCGGAAAAAGGCAGUACACAGCUGAGAGGGACCCACAGAUGACGCCUUAAACCGAGGCUGACUACUGACACCCCAGCAUCGCUGACAACUGGAAACCUUUCUUUAUCGUGCAGUCAGUAACAUCAAGAACCCUAAAGAAUCCUGAAGUAUCACACUACACUCAACCAAUCCACACUUCACUUUGAAAAUUACUAUUCUUUUAUUUUUCAAAUUCCAUGUGACCCUGCCUUAAGGGCAGCUCCUCGUAUAGAUAUGGAAUGGCGAGGAUGUUUGUCCUUUAUACAGGUGCACGAGAUAAAGUACUGAUCCCUUGAGGGUCAAUCAAGUAUUUGUUCAUUUUUAAUUCACAAUAUACAGAUCUUAUUGCAGCAAAGUGAAAAUAUUGUGUUCCAGGUCAGCAGUGCCAUUAUAAUAGUCUAUUCUAGUCCAGAGCUUUACUCUAGGAUAAGUGGUAAUAAUUUAUUGUUAGAAAUGAGGAUUUAUUUGGUAUGCUGCACGUUCUUUGGUACCAAAUAUCCUCAUUACUUAAUUUUAUGUUUACUGGUAGCCAAAUUCUUUUCAUCCCAGAGCUGACCUCUAAAUUAUUAACAAUUGUUGUAAAUGAUAUGUUCUAAUUUGCUUGUAAUGUUUUUUUUAAACUAGAAUUUAUUUGGAAACCUGCAUGUUUUUUAGUACUUUUUUAUUUUUCAGUUAUUUAUAUUUCAGUGCUCUUACACAUCUUGGUUCAAUGACUGUUACUGUACUUUGAAAUGUGGAAUAAAAAAUCCAAAUGAGAA
Non-coding RNA from Paramisgurnus dabryanus, 1871 nucleotides. NCBI's taxonomy places the organism in Eukaryota, Metazoa, Chordata, Actinopteri, Cypriniformes, Cobitidae. The record is from RefSeq and is a predicted model, not a curated record.